CUCCCUCUCUUCUUUUUUCUUCUGCAGAUCUAAUGCGUGUUGUUGAUAUUUACUUCUUCCAUAUGGAUCUGCAGAGUUCUACUGAGUAUUCAUAAAGAGAGACGGAGAGGUUUCAGUAGAUAGAUGAAAAAUUAGGGUUUCAAAAAUCAGAAUUUCUUCGUCUCUGACAAAUCAGGUGAAGGUUAUGCUACCUCAAAUCAUAAUUAAAGGUCUAGGUUCUGUAGGAGGUGUUCUUGCAGGUUGAGAGCUUCAAUUUUUGGAAUCUAUUGAAAAAUUUGUUGGAGAUGAACAAAAGAGAGUAAAUUGAUUCAGAUUCAGGGUUUUCUAUUGAAUCCGAGAAUAAAUUGAGCAUAGCAGAGGCAUGGUGAGCAUAGCAGAGGCAUGGUGAUUAUCAUGGGUUUCAUAUGUGUUGGUGUUUGUCAAGGGUUGUAGAAGCUAUGAAGAUGGUGGGUUCGAUUUGGUAAUACAGGGUAUGGAAGAUGUUAUUUCAAUGAUGAUUAAACGGGAGUGAUGUUGAUUCGUGAACUGGUGGUGAUGUUCUCACUGAGAAGAAGAUGGUUUGAAUCGUGCUUGGUGGGAUGGUGGUAGCGGGUGUUGGAAUUGCAAGCCGUGAAUAGAGGGGUUGUGGGGUUUGUGGUACAAGUCCAUCAGUAAUCCUUCUCUCGAUACCAGAGUUCAACACAGAUCUCCUCUAAUAAGCUUCAGACUUUGGCCGGACAACAUUCUGAUGUACUUGAAAGUCUUGCACCAAAUGUUAGGAAGCGUGUUGAGGCUUUGAGAGAGAUUCAGGUCUGUGGCUGAUUUUUCUUUAGCGAUGGUUCUUGUGUACCUAGAUUAACUUAUGGGAGUCAUUCUCUUUUCUUGGGUUGCCUGCAGAGUAAGCGUAGCUGCACUUAUGGAGUUUAACGGGUUUGAGUUGAGAAGAAGUUGCAGAAAUGAGCUCGUUCUUGCGCUGAAGUUACAGGUUCUGGUGCUGCUAAAAUGAGGUUAUGAGCUGGGUGCUAGUACUGGGAUUUGAAGUGGUUGCUGCAACAGAUUGAAAACGCAGAGAACAAGGAAUUGGUUGAUGCAAUUGCAGGUGAUUGAACUCUGAAUUGGUAUUGGUUGAACGGUGUUGGCUGAGAUGCAGCAUGCAGGUCGUAUUUUUACUUGUUGCAGAACACUCUCCAGGCUAGGAUCGUCUCUUGUCGUCAAUCUGAGUUUGACAGGUUGCAAAGGGAGAUGGAUGAGCGUAUAUCCCAGCUGCUUCAGGAUCACAAGGAUAUAAGAGAGAAGCAGAGGAGGCUGAUAUUCAAUCUGAGGUCUGAGGAGGAGAGACAGAAGAAACUGGAGGAAGAUGAAGCUCUUCGUAAGCAGCAAGAGGCCAAAAGGAAAAAGAAAGAAGAAUCAGAGAGAAAGGCCAAGUUGGACGAGCUGGUGGAAAAGCAGAGGCAGAGAGAGGCUGAAGUGGAGGAGAGGGUAAGAAAGGAAAGGGAGGCUCAGUUUAAAGCACUGAUGCUCCAAGUCAGAUACAUGAUCUUUUUUUUUUCUCAAGUCAGAACCUAGUUACUUCAUGCAAUAUUUUUGUACGUGGCUACUUCCAGCUCUGAUUCUGAGCGCGGACACUAC
Papaver somniferum (opium poppy) is the source of this 1608-nucleotide long non-coding RNA. RefSeq lists it as uncharacterized. The transcript has 4 exons. The record is from RefSeq and is a predicted model, not a curated record. Lineage: Eukaryota; Viridiplantae; Streptophyta; Magnoliopsida; Ranunculales; Papaveraceae.